AUUGAACGCUGGCGGCAGGCCUAACACAUGCAAGUCGAACGGCAGCACAGAAGAGCUUGCUCUUUGGGUGACGAGUGGCGGACGGGUGAGUAAUGUCUGGGAAACUGCCCGAUGGAGGGGGAUAACUACUGGAAACGGUAGCUAAUACCGCAUAACGUCGCACGACCAAAGUGGGGGACCUUCGGGCCUCACACCAUCGGAUGUGCCCAGAUGGGAUUAGCUAGUAGGUGGGGUGAUGGCUCACCUAGGCGACGAUCCCUAGCUGGUCUGAGAGGAUGACCAGCCACACUGGAACUGAGACACGGUCCAGACUCCUACGGGAGGCAGCAGUGGGGAAUAUUGCACAAUGGGCGCAAGCCUGAUGCAGCCAUGCCGCGUGUAUGAAGAAGGCCUUCGGGUUGUAAAGUACUUUCAGCGGGGAGGAAGGCGGUGAGGUUAAUAACCUUGCCGAUUGACGUUACCCGCAGAAGAAGCACCGGCUAACUCCGUGCCAGCAGCCGCAGUAA
This 506-nucleotide ribosomal RNA is filed under the name uncultured bacterium. RNAcentral's name for it is "partial 16S ribosomal RNA". It matches the Rfam family "Bacterial small subunit ribosomal RNA", at positions 30 to 523 of the family's 1533-position model. The record is from RNAcentral.